AUUGUCUGAUUCUGAUUGUCACCUGUCGAUUGUAGAGUGUAUACAAUAAUAAUAUGAAUCAUAAUGAUAUUAUCGCGUUUGUUUCCCGCCGUAAUCGCGUAAAAAUGUAAUCGGCAUUCGAAUAUUCUAUGUACCUAUAUAAUAAUAUACUCGUACCUAUAAUAGUCGGCAUAUUAUUACAAUGAUAUGAUAUUGUCAUAUAUAUAUUUGACGGUAGCACACGGAAAUCGUGGAGAUGAUGAUUUUCGCCGACAAUUUGUAUACGUUCGUGAUUUGUUCCAUUUCGAGUUCGGUAAAUGCCAAAAGGUCGAUCGAGGGUGGGGUCACCUCGUCACAGAUAGUUUAGUUUAAAAUAUAAUAAAAACACCUACGAUAAGAACCCUACUUAUUAACUAGUUAUUUACCGGUUUUUCUGUACUUAUAUUUUCUUUUUCUCAUUGGAAUUCUUUUGUGGUUUAGACUUUUUACUUUAUGUGAUAUGUUUUUUUCUUUUUUGUUAAUGCAUAAAUACAUUAUAUUAUGUUUUUAAAUUUAGCAACUAUUUUUUUAUGUACCUAUUUUUUUACUCUGAAGUUUGAAGGUUGUUGUUUUAACUAUAUUAAAUUAUCUAUUUUCAAUUAUUGGUUUUUUUUUUUUUUGGUACUUAAUAACUAACAUAUGUUAUCAAUAAGAAAUUAAUUUAUGGAAUUCGAGUGAAAACAAAAAAUACACUAAGUUUUCUGUAUUUAUUUAAUAAACACAUUAUACAUAUAUUUAUAUUGUCUGCUAAUUUAAAUAUCUUUGUUAAAAAUAGAAUAUUCAUAAAUCAUAAUAGGAUAUUAUUCAAAUGCUAAUCGUCUAAUAUUUGAAAUAUUAUUGAGUUAUUGCAACUGAAACUGUAUAAGUUAACAUGCAUAUUCGUUCACAACAACUAAUUACGUAGGUAGUGUUUUUUCUUAACACGCGAGAUGUCGGAUUAUUAAGUAUUCAAAAUAUUAUUUAGGUAGUUUGAUCUUGUACACUCUACAAUCGAACACAGACAGUAAUUUCGUUCAAACUAGGUUAUCAUUUUCUUAUUUAUUUCGUAUCGAAUUUAGCUAGGAAGGUAACGAAAACCAAUUAUAUGGAAUUUUCCUUUUUGACGUCUAAGUAACAUUAUCUACCCCGAUUCGAACGGUUUAGUGGUAUGUCAUUGUCUUCUGCUAGCUGUGGUGGUACUCACGUUUGUGUUAUUAUAUUAUGGUAACGAGAACUAGAUGAUCUUAAAUGGGUGUUACGGUUAAGAGCCUGUGGCGCGGUGAUUAUGGUAGUGAACAAAUCUGCGGGCGGUCGUACGCUCUCGCUGAGUACAACUGCCAACGGCACUGCUGCAGCGGUGGCGGGUAACCUGCAAUCCGGCGUACCGUUUCUGCCCAAAAGCCCAAGCUUCCAUAGUGGUUUGGAUCUGCUUGCUGGCCGUGAAAAAUCUCCAAUCAUUAUGUUUUGCGAUCCAACAAUGCAUUUGCCCAGGCUUCAUGAAGCCAAUGCAUCUGAAAGAGAACAGUUGCUUAUUCAAAAAAUGCAACAGUGCUGUGUGUUAUUUGACUUUAUUUCGGAUCCACAGUCUGAUCUUAAAUGGAAAGAAAUCAAGCGAGAAACAUUACAUGAAAUGGUAGACUAUUUGUCAUCAAAUCACAGUAGUAAUGUGCUUACUGAAGCUAUAUAUCCUGAAGCUGUAAGAAUGUUUGGAGUAAAUUUAUUCCGUAGUCUGCCUCCAUCAAGUAAUCCCAAUGGGGCAGAGUUUGAUCCAGAAGAGGACGAACCUCUAUUAGAAGCAGCCUGGCCUCAUUUACAACUAGUAUAUGAGUUCUUUCUUAGAUUUUUAGAGUCUCAAAACUUUAAUCCCCAUUUAGCUAAAAACUAUAUUGAUCAGAAAUUUGUUCUUCAGUUGUUAGAGCUAUUUGAUUCAGAAGAUCCACGAGAGAGAGACUUUUUGAAAACUAUACUACAUCGGAUUUAUGGUAAAUUUUUAAGUUUGCGAGCAUACAUAAGAAAACAGAUAAACAACAUAUUUUAUAGUUUUAUAUAUGAAACAGAACAUCAUAAUGGCAUUGCAGAGCUUUUAGAAAUCUUAGGAAGUAUUGUCAAUGGUUUUGCAUUGCCUUUGAAAGAGGAGCACAAGGUAUUCUUGUUAAAAGUUUUACUGCCGUUACACAAAGUGAAAUCUUUAUCUGUGUAUCAUCCACAACUGGCUUAUUGUAUUGUACAGUUCCUUGAAAAAGAUCCAUCUCUUACAGAACCAGUUAUCAGAAGUUUGUUAAAGUUUUGGCCUAAAACACAUUCCCCAAAAGAAGUCAUGUUUCUUAACGAAUUAGAAGAAAUUUUGGACAUAAUUGAACCAUUGGAAUUUCGAAAAGUGCUUAAACCAUUAAUACAUCAAUUAGCUAGAUGUGUCUCCAGUCAACAUUUUCAAGUUGCAGAAAGAGCACUUUACUUUUGGAACAAUGAGUACAUAAUGUCACUGAUGUCUGAGAAUGUUGAUGAAAUUUUGCCAAUCAUGUUUCCAGUGUUAUACAAAAAUUCUAAAACUCAUUGGAAUAAAAAUAUACAUGGUCUAAUGUACAAUGCAUUGAAAAUAUUUACUGAAACUAAUCCUGUACUAUUUCAUACGUGCACCCAACAAUUCAAAGAAGAUAGGAAGACUGAAGUGGAUAAGUUAAAGAAACGAGAUGAAAAGUGGCAUCGAGUUGAAGAGUUGGCUAAAAGGAAUCCCAAUUUUACAGUAUCCAUUGAUAAUAGUUUGUCAUUUUAUACUGACUUUGCAAGGUCGCCAAUUAACGAUUUAGACCCGACUAUUGAUUUGAAAAGUUUAGAAGAGGAUACCAAGUAUCAUAUUGAUACAGAUAACCGUAAAAAUCGAAAAGAAAAACCUUUAUUGAGGCGUAAAUCUGAAUUACCACAUGACACAUACACUUUGAGGGCAUUAAAUGAUCAUAAGAGAGCCGAUGAAUAUCUAGCUACACCUCCUGAUGUUAAUAAAUGCUAGCCAAUUGUUUCAAUUGUGAUGGCUGUUUUAUUUCUAUACACAGAGUCUAAACAACUAAGGAUUACUCAAAAAAAAAAAAAAAGUUAUAAUGGUUAUUCAUCUCAUUAGGGGUCAUUUAAAUGUUGAGUUUAUCUUUGUUAGGAUUAACAUGUUAUAAGUAGUUCAACCACCAAUUUUUCAAUAUGUGAAUGAAGAAAGUCAUGUGAAGUGAACACUCUUAUCUACUUCGGUUGUGUUAUUUAUUUUUAAAAUAAACAUAAAAUGUGUCAUUUAUUUUUUUAUUUAUUUACCACAGUAUAUUAGUUUUAAUUUUUGCUUCUAUGAAAGUAUACAUUUUUAAAUGUUACAUAACAAGACACAAAAAUUAAGAGAGAUUGCAUUCAAGAAUAAGUUUAGGGAUUUUUUUAUUAAUUCUCUUGUUGGUUUAUUAUUAUUAUUAUUAUGAUUAUUACUAUUAUUAUUUUAUUAUUCCUUUUUUAACUUAUAUUUUUUUUUUCAUGCAGAUGUAAUAAAACAUGUUUUGUACAUAAAAAAGUGGCUACAUUUUAUUAGUAUAUAUUCAUUUUUAGCAUACAUGAUAUAAUAUUUGAACUAGUGUAAUAAGUAAUAACCCUACCAAAAAUAAAAAUGUCUAACUAAUUGAAAAACAUAUUUUUGUCUGGAGCAGAAUAAAAAGUUUAGAUAUAUAAUAUAUGCAUACAUAAAAUAAUGUAUUAUAUUUGAUUUGUAAACAUUUAUUUUUACUCAAUAUAAUGUACUCAUGUAAUACACUAAUUAGUAAUUUAUGUAUCUGCUUGAGCGAUAAGUUUUUUUUUCUGUUCUUAUAUCAAAAAAUGUUGAUCAUAUUUAAUGUAAACUCAUUUUAAGGGUAGACCCAUCAACAGGGAUGAAUUAUUGUUUUUAACCACUUGAAAUGUUAUUAUAUUUAUGUUGUACAUUAUAAUAAGAUAUUUAUGUAAAACAAAACAAUAACUAUCAAUUAAUAUGAAGCAUAAUAAUAUAUACAUAUAAAAAUGAUCGUUUAUUGUAGGCGUGUAGGCCUGAUAUUAUAAUAAUAUAUUUUUUUUUAACAUAAAUAAUUGUCCAAUGUCUAUACAAAUCAAAUUUACAAAAUAUUAUGUAUAGUGUUGAUAAUAAGCUUAUACUUAAUACAGAAAAUAAAUUUAUAUAUACACAAUAUAAACAAUAUACAUGUGUUUAUUCAUAUAUAUAUAUAUUAUAUAAUGUAAAAUAUUACGUGUUAAACAAUUAUUGAAUUUGUUUUAUUUCAAUUUUAUUACAGAAUGAGGAUUUCAAAAAAAUAUAUGUUAUAGUUUCA
Molecule: RNA transcript, 4322 nt
Organism: Metopolophium dirhodum (rose-grain aphid)
Lineage: Eukaryota; Metazoa; Arthropoda; Insecta; Hemiptera; Aphididae
Gene: wrd
Gene name: serine/threonine-protein phosphatase 2A 56 kDa regulatory subunit gamma isoform
Exons: 12
Source: RefSeq, a predicted model, not a curated record